AUCUAGCUGAUGAAUCCUAAAUAAGACGAAACGCACGUCGCACUGGAU
This 48-nucleotide non-coding RNA is filed under the name Schistosoma mansoni. The record is from RNAcentral. Lineage: Eukaryota; Metazoa; Platyhelminthes; Trematoda; Strigeidida; Schistosomatidae.